CUAACCUGCCCACUGAUUUAUUAAAGGGCCGCGGUAUACUGACUGUGCAAAGGUAGCAUAAUCAUUUGUCUUUUAAUUGAAGGCUGGAAUGAAUGGUUGAAUGAAGUAUUAACUGUCUCAUUUUAAAAAAAAUAAAAAUUUAAUUUUUUAGUCAAAAAGCUAAAAUAAAUUUAGAGGACGAGAAGACCCUAUAGAUCUUUAUAAUAAAAUUUAAUAGAAAAUUUUAGAUUUAUAAAAAAUUUAUUAAAUUGAAUUAUUUGGUUGGGGUGACAGGAAAAUUUAAUAAACUAUUUUUAUAUAUAAACAAUGAUUUUUGAAUAUUUGAUCCAAUUUUAUUGAUUAAAAAAUUAAGUUACCUUAGGGAUAACAGCGUAAUUUUUUUAGAGAGUUCUUAUCGAUAAAAAAGAUUGCGACCUCGAUGUUGAAUUAAAGAU
Molecule: ribosomal RNA, 434 nt
Filed under: Stenosmylus tenuis
Lineage: Eukaryota; Metazoa; Arthropoda; Insecta; Neuroptera; Osmylidae
Description: partial large subunit ribosomal RNA
Rfam family: Archaeal large subunit ribosomal RNA
Source: RNAcentral